Molecule: long non-coding RNA, 390 nt
Filed under: Mus spretus (western wild mouse)
Lineage: Eukaryota; Metazoa; Chordata; Mammalia; Rodentia; Muridae
Description: predicted gene 43701 (ENSMSPG00010037696.1)
Source: RNAcentral
GGGUUCCGACGGCGGGUCCUUCCUCCAUGGCCCGCUCGGCCGCUUCCGGUGCUGAGCGAUUGCGUUAGGGUCUGAGAUGCCUGCUUCCGGCGCCUCCUAAAGACGUCACGCCCCUAACAAGUAGCCAAGCCUACUAUCCACAUGCCCAGAGAGCCCGCAGUGCUUCUGGCUGGCUUGUCCGAAUUAGAGAAGAAAAACAACUUUGAGCAACAAAAUAGAGAAAACUACAAGCUGCUUCAGUUCUCCAUCAUGUCAGUCCAUCUGGGUCAGCUGACUGGAGUCCAUCGCUGUGAACCUGAAACACAUCGCGGGGAGAACUUGCCACGGAGACAGAGAAUAUCAGCCUUUCAUAGCCUAGGAUUAAAAAAAAUAAUAAAGAAAGAAAUACUA